RNAcentral lists this ribosomal RNA (497 nucleotides) under uncultured bacterium. RNAcentral's name for it is "partial 16S ribosomal RNA". It matches the Rfam family "Bacterial small subunit ribosomal RNA", at positions 28 to 507 of the family's 1533-position model. The record is from RNAcentral.
GACGAACGCUGGCGGCGUGCCUAAUACAUGCAAGUUGAGCGCUGAAGGUUGGUACUUGUACCAACUGGAUGAGCAGCGAACGGGUGAGUAACGCGUGGGGAAUCUGCCUUUGAGCGGGGGACAACAUUUGGAAACGAAUGCUAAUACCGCAUAAAAACUUUAAACACAAGUUUUAAGUUUGAAAGAUGCAAUUGCAUCACUCAAAGAUGAUCCCGCGUUGUAUUAGCUAGUUGGUGAGGUAAAGGCUCACCAAGGCGAUGAUACAUAGCCGACCUGAGAGGGUGAUCGGCCACAUUGGGACUGAGACACGGCCCAAACUCCUACGGGAGGCAGCAGUAGGGAAUCUUCGGCAAUGGAGGAAAGUCUGACCGAGCAACGCCGCGUGAGUGAAGAAGGGUUUCGGAUCGUAAAAAUCUGUUGGUAGAGAAGAACGUUGGUGAGAGUGGAAAGCUCAUCAAGUGACGGUAACUACCCAGAAAGGGACGGCUAACUACGUG